CGACAUUGUUCUCUAUAAAAAGAACCUCUUGGUCUGCCACAAUUCAGUUUCGAUUUGAAAAGCAGUAAAACUUUAUAUUUUUGUACAUUAGCUACCACAGGAGGCGUCCAACAUGAUCAAAAUCACAAUUCUGAUGAUGAUGUUUGGGAUGGCACUUGCUGGAGAUUUGUUGUUUGGAAAUGAUUUGUCGCUUCCAAUACGUUCCCUUGGAUUUUAUGGAUACCCAGUCCGAAAUUUUGCACAGCCCAUCUUUUCUUCUGGAUUCAGAGAUCUUUCUUCCGGAUUCAGGGACAUUUCUUCCGGAUACAGAGAUAUUUCUUCGGGAUCCUUUGGCUCAUUAGGAUUCUCAAGUCCUUUUAACAGAAUUCUUAUUUAAGACAAAUUCACUAAUAAAAGUUUGACAAAAACUGGCUGUAAGAAAACUGGCUGUUGCUUCUUUUAUUUCUGGCUUACAGAAAUAUCAUUGUAACUUUUGCAUUCUUUUAACAAAAUGAAAUAAAAUUUAACAUGCAACAA
Long non-coding RNA from Stegodyphus dumicola, 516 nucleotides. RefSeq lists it as uncharacterized. The record is from RefSeq and is a predicted model, not a curated record. Lineage: Eukaryota; Metazoa; Arthropoda; Arachnida; Araneae; Eresidae.